AAGCGCGCGUAGGCGGAUCAGGAAGUCGGGGGUGAAAUCCCGGGGCUCAACCCCGGAAUUGCCUUCGAAACUUUUGGUCUUGAGGUCGAGAGAGGUGAGUGGAAUUCCGAGUGUAGAGGUGAAAUUCGUAGAUAUUCGGAGGAACACCAGUGGCGAAGGCGGCUCACUGGCUCGAUACUGACGCUGAGGUGCGAAAGCGUGGGGAGCAAACAGGAUUAGAUACCCUUGGU
This 230-nucleotide ribosomal RNA is filed under the name uncultured bacterium. RNAcentral's name for it is "partial 16S ribosomal RNA". It matches the Rfam family "Bacterial small subunit ribosomal RNA", at positions 563 to 791 of the family's 1533-position model. The record is from RNAcentral.